This 253-nucleotide ribosomal RNA is filed under the name uncultured Pseudomonas sp. Its description in RNAcentral is "partial 16S ribosomal RNA". It matches the Rfam family "Bacterial small subunit ribosomal RNA", at positions 99 to 354 of the family's 1533-position model. Lineage: Bacteria; Pseudomonadati; Pseudomonadota; Gammaproteobacteria; Pseudomonadales; Pseudomonadaceae. The record is from RNAcentral.
CGGACGGGUGAGUAAUGCCUAGGAAUCUGCCUGGUAGUGGGGGACAACGUUUCGAGAGGAACGCUAAUACCGCAUACGUCCUACGGGAGAAAGCAGGGACCUUCGGGCCUUGCGCUAUCAGAUGAGCCUAGGUCGGAUUAGCUAGUUGGUGAGGUAAUGGCUCACCAAGGCGACGAUCCGUAACUGGUCUGAGAGGAUGAUCAGUCACACUGGAACUGAGACACGGUCCAGACUCCUACGGGAGGCAGCAGGC